The sequence is a non-coding RNA, 400 nucleotides long. It matches the Rfam family "Bacterial RNase P class A". From Rfam's summary of the family: Ribonuclease P (RNase P) is a ubiquitous endoribonuclease, found in archaea, bacteria and eukarya as well as chloroplasts and mitochondria. The record is from Rfam.
CCAGUCGGCCGGGCAGCCGCGCUUUACCAAUGCCGAAAGGCGGUAGGGUGAGGAAAGUCCGGGCUCCACGGAAACACGGUGCCGGAUAACGUCCGGCGAGGGCGACCUCAGGGAAAGUGCCACAGAAAGCAGACCGCCCCGUUUAUCGGGGUAAGGGUGAAAGGGUGGGGUAAGAGCCCACCGCGUCGCUGGUGACAGGGACGGCAUGGUAAACCCCACCGGGAGCAAGACCGAAUAGGGAUGACGCGGGUGCAACGCAAGUUGCGCUACAGCCGGUUUUCGGGCCAGUCAUCCGGGUGGGUUGCGAGAGGCGGUGCGCAAGUAUCGUCCCAGAUGAAUGGCUGCCACGUUCCGGGAAACCGGGGCCAUACAGAACCCGGCUUACAGGCCGACUGGUAUU